Molecule: ribosomal RNA, 374 nt
Filed under: uncultured bacterium
Lineage: Bacteria
Description: bacterial SSU rRNA
Rfam family: Bacterial small subunit ribosomal RNA
Source: RNAcentral
ACUUGGGGAUAACCUUGCGAAAGUAAGACUAAUACCCAAUGAUAUCCCACGAAGGCAUCGGAAUGGGAUUAAGAUUUAUCGGUGAUGGAUGGGGAUGCGUCUGAUUAGCUUGUUGGCGGGGUAACGGCCCACCAAGGCGACGAUCAGUAGGGGUUCUGAGAGGAAGGUCCCCCACAUUGGAACUGAGACACGGUCCAAACUCCUACGGGAGGCAGCAGUGAGGAAUAUUGGUCAAUGGGACGAGAGUCUGAACCAGCCAAGUAGCGUGCAGGAAGACGGCCCUAUGGCUUGUAAACUGCUUUUAUAAGGGAAUAAAGUUAGUCUCGUGAGACUUUUUGCAUGUACCUUAUGAAUAAGGACCGGCUAAUUCCGUG